CUUCGGCCAUGAGUAAAGUGGCAGACGGGUGAGUAACACGUGGGUAAUCAACCUUGUGGCGGGGGACAACCUUCCGAAAGGAGGGCUAAUACCGCGUAAGUCCGGAGGGUCCACGGAUCUUCCGGGGAAAGGGGGGCGCAAGCCUCUCACCAUAAGACGAACCCGCGUCCCAUCAGCUAGUUGGUGAGGUAACGGCUCACCAAGGCUAAGACGGGUAGCUGGUCUGAGAGGAUGACCAGCCACACUGGAACUGCGACACGGUCCAGACUCCUACGGGAGGCAGCAGUGGGGAAUAUUGGGCAAUGGGCGCAAGCCUGACCCAGCCACGCCGCGUGAGUGAUGAAGGCCUUCGGG
Molecule: ribosomal RNA, 354 nt
Filed under: uncultured bacterium
Lineage: Bacteria
Description: bacterial SSU rRNA
Rfam family: Bacterial small subunit ribosomal RNA
Source: RNAcentral